AGGGCAAUAGCUCAGUGGUAGGGCAUGUGCUUAGCAUGCACAAGGUCCUGGGUUCAAUUCCUAGUAUCUCCA
RNAcentral lists this transfer RNA (72 nucleotides) under Camelus bactrianus (Bactrian camel). It matches the Rfam family "tRNA". Rfam says of the family: Transfer RNA (tRNA) molecules are approximately 80 nucleotides in length. Their secondary structure includes four short double-helical elements and three loops (D, anti-codon, and T loops). The record is from Rfam by way of RNAcentral. Lineage: Eukaryota; Metazoa; Chordata; Mammalia; Artiodactyla; Camelidae. RNAcentral also lists the same sequence under 1 other name.